RNAcentral lists this ribosomal RNA (397 nucleotides) under uncultured bacterium. RNAcentral describes it as "bacterial SSU rRNA". It matches the Rfam family "Bacterial small subunit ribosomal RNA", at positions 29 to 429 of the family's 1533-position model. The record is from RNAcentral.
AUUGAACGCUGGCGGCAUGCCUUACACAUGCAAGUCGAACGGCAGCACGGGAGCAAUCCUGGUGGCGAGUGGCGAACGGGUGAGUAAUAUAUCGGAACGUGCCCGGUCGUGGGGGAUAACGUAGCGAAAGCUACGCUAAUACCGCAUACGAUCUACGGAUGAAAGCGGGGGGAUCGCAAGACCUCGCGCGAUUGGAGCGGCCGAUAUCAGAUUAGGUAGUUGGUGAGGUAAAGGCUCACCAAGCCGACGAUCUGUAGCUGGUCUGAGAGGACGACCAGCCACACUGGGACUGAGACACGGCCCAGACUCCUACGGGAGGCAGCAGUGGGGAAUAUUGGACAAUGGGCGAAAGCCUGAUCCAGCAAUGCCGCGUGAGUGAUGAAGGCCUCGGUGUAAG